CAUUUCCUCCGGGGGGGCGGCAGUGGGGAAUUAUUGGCCAAUGGGGGGCAACCCGGAUCCAGCCAUCCCGCGUGAUUGAUAAGGGCCUUUAGGGUUGUAAAGUUCUUUUGUCCGGGACGAAUAAUGCCGGUCCCGGAAGAAAAAACCCCGGCUAAUCUGGUCCCACCAGCCCCGGUUAUACCGAGGGGGGCAACGUUUUCUCGAAAUCACUGGGGUUAAAGGGGCCUUAGGGGGCCGAUUAAUUCGGGGGGAAAACCCCGGGGUCCAACCCCAGAAUGCCCUUUAAAACUUGUUGCCUUGAGACCGGAAGAGGACAGCGGAAUUCCGAGUGUGGAGGGGAAAUCCGUAGAUUUUCGCAAGAACCCCAGUGGCGAAGGCGCCUGUCUGGCCCGGUUCUGCCGCUGAGGCGCGAAAGCGGGGGGGUCCCCCUCAAUUAAUUUCAGUUUUUGUCCCCCCGUAAUGAUGAAUGCCGGACGUUGGUCUGUUCAGGUCAGUGCGCCGCUAACGCGUCAGCAUCUGCAUGCGACGACGGCGACCUU
RNAcentral lists this ribosomal RNA (539 nucleotides) under uncultured bacterium. RNAcentral's name for it is "partial 16S ribosomal RNA". It matches the Rfam family "Bacterial small subunit ribosomal RNA", at positions 332 to 895 of the family's 1533-position model. The record is from RNAcentral.